RNAcentral lists this transfer RNA (73 nucleotides) under Candidatus Zixiibacteriota bacterium. RNAcentral's name for it is "candidate division Zixibacteria bacterium tRNA-Thr". It matches the Rfam family "tRNA". Rfam says of the family: Transfer RNA (tRNA) molecules are approximately 80 nucleotides in length. Their secondary structure includes four short double-helical elements and three loops (D, anti-codon, and T loops). Further hydrogen bonds mediate the characteristic L-shaped molecular structure. tRNAs have two regions of fundamental functional importance: the anti-codon, which is responsible for specific mRNA codon recognition, and the 3' end, to which the tRNAs corresponding amino acid is attached (by aminoacyl-tRNA synthetases). tRNAs cope with the degeneracy of the genetic code in two manners: having more than one tRNA (with a specific anti-codon) for a particular amino acid; and 'wobble' base-pairing, i.e. permitting non-standard base-pairing at the 3rd anti-codon position. The record is from RNAcentral. RNAcentral also lists the same sequence under 1 other name. Lineage: Bacteria; Pseudomonadati; Candidatus Zixiibacteriota.
GCCGACGUAACUCAGUUGGUAGAGUAGCUGAUUUGUAAUCAGCCUGUCCCCAGUUCGAGUCUGGGCGUCGGCU